Molecule: ribosomal RNA, 492 nt
Filed under: uncultured bacterium
Lineage: Bacteria
Description: partial 16S ribosomal RNA
Rfam family: Bacterial small subunit ribosomal RNA
Source: RNAcentral
AGUGAACGCUGGCGGUAGGCCUAACACAUGCAAGUCGAACGGCAGCACAGUAAGAGCUUGCCCUUACGGGUGGCGAGUGGCGGACGGGUGAGGCAUACAUCGGAAUCUACUUUUUCGUGGGGGAUAACGUAGGGAAACUUACGCUAAUACCGCAUACGACCUACGGGUGAAAGCAGGGGAUCUUCGGACCUUGCGCGAUUGAAUGAGACGAUGUCGGAUUAGCUAGUUGGCGGGGUAAAGGCCCACCAAGGCGACGAUCCGUAGCUGGUCUGAGAGGAUGAUCGGCCACACUGGAACUGAGACACGGUCCAGACUCCUACGGGAGGCAGCAGUAGGGAAUAUUGGACAAUGGGCGCAAGCCUGAUCCAGCCAUACCGCGUGAGUGAAGAAGGCCUUCGGGUUGUAAAGCCCUUUUGUUAGGAAAGAAAAGCAGCAGGUUAAUACCCCGCUGUUCUGACGGUACCCAAAGAGUAAGCACCGGCUAACUUCGUG